RNAcentral lists this long non-coding RNA (1202 nucleotides) under Medicago truncatula (barrel medic). RNAcentral's name for it is "long non-coding RNA (MTRU_LNC004476)". The record is from RNAcentral. Lineage: Eukaryota; Viridiplantae; Streptophyta; Magnoliopsida; Fabales; Fabaceae.
CCAAAUGCAAUAUUCUCAUAAUCUUUUACCAAAAUUUUCUUAAUGCUGCAAAAUAAAUUACAAGAAAGGGACUCUCAAAACAACUUUUCAUAUGUAGCCGUUUUUAUAUUUUUUAUCUUCAGAUUCUAAUAACAAACAUAUAAACUUUUUUUGGACUAAAAGUAAACGAUAUUCUGUCUUUUUAGCAAUCUUUUUAGCAAAUUUGUUCCAUCAUAAUAACAAACCCAGAGAUGAACCAAGGAGUAUUGAUAAACACUUACUUUAUGGAGUAAUUGUCUAGUGCAUUUGGCUUGGUAGGAGCAUGAUUUUGUUUAUAAUUAGUUGUUGAACUUGAUUAGAUAUCGGGGUACUCUUAGUCCUUAAUCCUAACUAUCUGUAAUGAUACAGAAAAUGAACACGUGUAAAUAAGGCUCACAUAAGUUUUGAUUUGGAGGUAGAAAUGAUCUUUGAUUGUAAUACUCUCGGCUGGUAAUUUAGAAGCUAAAUAAUUAAUAUUCAGAAUACUUGCAUCCCAAUCCUAUAAAGAUGUUAUAUGUCACGGAAGAUUGUCAAUGAAUUUUCACGGAACACGUACAAAACUUACUUCCCACGUGCGACGGUAGUUUCUUUUUUAAAAUGAAAUACAUGAAAAGAUUAAAUUAAAUGAAAUACAUGAAACGAUAUUCUUGCUUAACCGAUUUCAAUUAUAAUUAAAAUGAUCCAUCAAAACCAAAUUCUAUUGAAAUAAAACAAUGAAAGUCAUUUCCCACUCAACGAAGUUGGUUACAUGGAUUGAACAACACCGUUACCACCGUCAUCAAUAAGACUCAUUUCUCCGGGAUGCAAGUAUUCUGAAUAUUAGUUAUUUAGCUUCUAAAUUACCAGCCGAGAGUAUUACAAUCAAAGAUCAUUUCUACCUGCAAAUCAAAACUUAUGUGGGCCUUAUUUACACGUGUUCAUUUUCUGUAUCAUUACAAAUAGUUAGGAUUAAGGACUAAGAUUACCCCGAUAUCUAAUCAAGUUCAAUAACUAAUUAUAAACAAAAUUCAUGCUCCUACCAAGCCAAAUGCACUAGACAAACGUGCUCAGCAAAGGACACACUUGCUGAAAAUGACAAGGAAAAGGAGUGGUAAUCAACCAGCAAAGGACACACCUGCUGAAAAUGACAAGCGUGCUCAGCAAGAAACGCACGCAGAACAACAUAUUGCCCCUGUUGAAGAAGG